This 497-nucleotide ribosomal RNA is filed under the name uncultured bacterium. RNAcentral describes it as "partial 16S ribosomal RNA". It matches the Rfam family "Bacterial small subunit ribosomal RNA", at positions 28 to 507 of the family's 1533-position model. The record is from RNAcentral.
GACGAACGCUGGCGGCGUGCCUAAUACAUGCAAGUAGAACGCUGAAGAGAGGAGCUUGCUCUUCUUGGAUGAGUUGCGAACGGGUGAGUAACGCGUAGGUAACCUGCCUUGUAGCGGGGGAUAACUAUUGGAAACGAUAGCUAAUACCGCAUAACAAUGGAUGACACAUGUCAUUUAUUUGAAAGGGGCAAUUGCUCCACUACAAUAUGGACCUGCGUUGUAUUAGCUAGUAGGUGAGGUAAUGGCUCACCUAGGCGACGAUACAUAGCCGACCUGAGAGGGGGAGCGGCCACACUGGGACUGAGACACGGCCCAGACUACUACGGGAGGCAGCAGUAGGGAAUCUUCGGCAAUGGGGGCAACCCUGACCGAGCAACGCCGCGUGAGUGAAGAAGGGUUUCGGAUCGUAAAGCUCUGUUGUAAGUCAAGAACGGGUGUGAGAGUGGAAAGUGCACACUGUGACGGUAGCUUACCAGAAAGGGACGGCUAACUACGUG